CUACAUCCAAUUGUAAGACGAUGAGGAAAUUCCACUAGUAACAUAAGGAGAUUACAUAUGAGUUAAGACCACACUAGGAUAUUGCAGAGUUCAAUUCUAAUAAUCCACAAUCCACAAUCCACAUCCCACAUACACCCAAAUCACUCUCAUACAGAUGAGCCAAGAAUAAAUCUCCUAUUAUUAAUCACAAAUACAAAGACCAAAAGAGGAACAAUACCAAAUUUGAAGCCGCUCAAACAAAAGAGAACAAGAAAUUUUCCUUGCAAGAAUACUGCAACAAACAAACUCACAACGAAACAGACGUAACAUACAAUGUGACAUCAUCCAAAACAAAAAGGAGAAGAUUUCCUUCACUUAAAAAUUAUGUGAGUCACACUUCCUUCGGCUUAGAUGCUUCUGGCUCUCUUAAAUGGUUCCAUAUGGUGGUCUCCACCCAAACAAAGGAGAGAGGUUUUUCUCUCACCAAAU
RNAcentral lists this long non-coding RNA (468 nucleotides) under Prunus dulcis (almond). Its description in RNAcentral is "sRNA ncRNA". Lineage: Eukaryota; Viridiplantae; Streptophyta; Magnoliopsida; Rosales; Rosaceae. The record is from RNAcentral.